UGGGGAAUAUUGGGCAAUGGGCGAAAGCCUGACCCAGCAACGCCGCGUGAGGGAAGAAGGUCUUCGGAUUGUAAACCUCUGUCCUUGGGGACGAAAAAAAUGACGGUACCCAAGGAGGAAGCCCCGGCUAACUACGUGCCAGCAGCCGCGGUAAUACGUAGGGGGCAAGCGUUGUCCGGAAUUACUGGGCGUAAAGGGUGCGUAGGCGGUUGCCUAAGUCAGAUGUGAAAUCCCCGGGCUUAACUCGGGUGGUGCAUUUGAAACUGGGUUACUAGAGUGCAGGAGAGGAAAGCGGAAUUCCUAGUGUAGCGGUGAAAUGCGUAGAUAUUAGGAGGAACACCAGUGGCGAAGGCGGCUUUCUGGACUGUAACUGACGCUGAGGCACGAAAGCGUGGGGAGCAAACA
Molecule: ribosomal RNA, 405 nt
Filed under: uncultured prokaryote
Description: bacterial SSU rRNA
Rfam family: Bacterial small subunit ribosomal RNA
Source: RNAcentral